AGAGUUUGAUCCUAGCUCAGGAUGAACGCUGGCGGCGUGGAUAAGGCAUGCAAGUCGAGUGGGUUUAGACCCACGGCGAACGAGGUAGUAACACGUAGAUACAUACCCCCGAGUCAGGAAUAAUUCCGCGAAAGCGGAGCUAAUACUUGAUGGUCUCGCGAGAGUAAAGAUUUAUCGCUCGGGGAAUGGUCUGCGGGAUAUCAGCUAGUUGGUAGGGUAAUGGCCUACCAAGGCAAUGACGUCUAGGGGAGCUGAGAGGCUGACCCCCACCGAUGGAACUGAGAUACGGUCCAUACACCUACGGGUGGCCGCAGUCGAGAAUCUUCCGCAAUGGACGAAAGUCUGACGGAGCGACGCCGCGUGAAUGAUGAAGUGCUUCGGCACGUAAAAUUCUUUUAUAGGGGAGAAAGUUUAUUGAUAGUACCCUACGAAUAAGAGGCUACAAACUCUGUGCCAGCAGUAGCGGUAAUACAGAGGCCUCAAGCGUUAUCCGGAAUUACUGGGCGUAAAGGGUGUGUAGGUGGUUUAGUUAGUCUUCUGUUAAAUUCUUCGGCUUAACCGGGGGCAUGCGGAGGAAACGGCUAAACUAGAGGAUACGAGGGGUGCAUGGAACUCAUGGAGUAGGGGUGAAAUCCGUUGAUAUCAUGAGGAACACCAAAAGCGAAGGCAGUGCACUAGCGUACUCCUGACACUCAAACACGAAAGCGUGGGUAGCGAAUGGGAUUAGAUACCCCAGUAGUCCACGCCCUAAACGAUCCUAUCUGGCUUUUCGGAGUAUCGACCCUCUGAGAGGCGAAGCUAACGCGUUAAGAUAGGCGCCUGGGUAGUACGGCCGCAAGGCUAAAACUCAAAGGAAUAGACGGGGACUUGCACAAGCAGUGGAUUAUGUGGUUCAAUUCGAUGGUAAACGAAAAACCUUACCCGGGUUUGAAACCUAGCUGAAUACUUUGGGAAACCUUAGUAGCCCUCACGGGCAGUUAGGCAGGUGUUGCAUGGCCGUCGUCAGUUCGUGGUUUGAAUUGUUCCCUUAAGUGGGGUAACGAACGCAACCCUCGUUGUCUGUUACACGUUGUCAGGCGAGACUGCCCCCGACUUAGUGCGCUAAGGAAACUUAGUUCAUUGAGUCGGGGGAGGAAGGCGAGGAUAACGCCAGGUCAGCAUGACCCUUUGAUAUCCGGGGCUACACACAUAAUACAAUCGCAUAUACAACGCGUCGCGACGGGGUAACCCUGAGCUAAUCGUAAUAAAGUAUGCGCCAGUUCGGAUUGGGGGCUGCAACUCGACCCCAUGAAGCCGGAAUUGCUAGUAAUCGCGGGUCAGCUAUACCGCGGUGAAUACGUUCUCAAGUCUUGUACUCACCGCCCGUCAACUCAAGGGAGCCGGGGGUACCCGAAGUCCGUUUUAACGGCCUAAGGUAAAUUCGGUGACAGGGAGUAAGUCGUAACAAGGCACGGGUAGCGGAAGCUGCUCGUG
RNAcentral lists this ribosomal RNA (1473 nucleotides) under wastewater metagenome. Its description in RNAcentral is "bacterial SSU rRNA". It matches the Rfam family "Bacterial small subunit ribosomal RNA". The record is from RNAcentral.